Molecule: non-coding RNA, 840 nt
Organism: Cyanistes caeruleus (blue tit)
Lineage: Eukaryota; Metazoa; Chordata; Aves; Passeriformes; Paridae
Source: RefSeq, a predicted model, not a curated record
AGUGUGGAUGUGGCACUUGGGGAGAUGGUUUAGUGAUGGACUUGGAAGUGUUGGGUAAUGAUUGGAUUCUAUUUUAAAGGUCUUUUCCCACCUAAAUUAUCAUUCUAUAAACUUGAGUGGAGAUUUAUCCUCUCUUUGCUUCUUCCUCCCUCAACUGCACAAAAACAAUGAAUGUUUCCUCGCUCUCACUUUUCUACCAGUUUUUAAGGAGGGCUGAGUGAGGGAUGAAGAAGAAACUUUGGGAGUAACUUUGACGGGGAAAAUGGGCAAGCAAUGAAUCCUGCCGCUCCCUUUAGAAGGUGAAUGAGGGGUUUGAUUUUGAUGAGAGCUCAGGAUUCACAUGACCCAGGUGCUAAAGCCUGAAAUAGAGCCAGCCGGGGUGGGUUAGGCCUCCCCCACUCCUAGCUCUGGAGCACCUAAACUCCUUUAAAAUCCUUCUGAAGGCUCUGUUCUGAUGAAGAUGUGACUUGAAGGAAGCCUGUCCCAUCGGGCUGCACUGGGGUGAGGCAGGUGCAGCCACCCAGAACCUUCUGGAAGAUCCCUGGAGGAGGCAGCGGUGAGGCCAUGGAUUCUGCUCUUUACCUCAGCAGUUGGCAGCAGUUUAAGGGUAACUUGAAAUGCAUCUCUACGGUGGAGCAUGUUGCAGACAACUUAGAGGGAUUCAGGAUACUGAAGUGAGUCUAGAGAAAAUGAACAACCUGUAACAAGAAAUGCAGAAAGAGAUAUGGAUAAAUAUGCCAUUGAGAGGCAGACUCAGCAUGACUUUUCUGAAAGGAAAUCCUGACCUGGCUAUCUAUAAACUCCUUCAAAGGAAGUAAAGGUCCAAUGGAUACAAUCUAA